AUACGUAGGGGGCGAGCGUUGUCCGGAAUUAUUGGGCGUAAAGGGUUCGCAGGCGGUCUGAUAAGUCAGAUGUGAAAGGCAAUGGCUCAACCAUUGUAAGCAUUUGAAACUGUCAGACUUGAGUUAAGGAGAGGAAAGUGGAAUUCCUAGUGUAGCGGUGAAAUGCGUAGAUAUUAGGAGGAAUACCAGUGGCGAAGGCGACUUUCUGGACUUAUACGGACGCUGAGGAACGAAAGCGUGGGGAGCAAACAGGAUUAGAUACCCUGGUAGUCCACGCCGUAAACGAUGAGUGCUAGGUGUUGGGGGUCAAACCUCGGUGCCGCAGCUAACGCAUUAAGCACUCCGCCUGGGGAGUACGUACGCAAGUAUGAAACUCAAAGGAAUUGACGGGG
RNAcentral lists this ribosomal RNA (392 nucleotides) under uncultured bacterium. Its description in RNAcentral is "partial 16S ribosomal RNA". It matches the Rfam family "Bacterial small subunit ribosomal RNA", at positions 523 to 918 of the family's 1533-position model. The record is from RNAcentral.